AUGAGUAUAAAUGUAGGAUAUUUUUUGUGUUUAAUUAUACCAAUUUUAAGAUUUAAUGCCGAACCAGAAAAUAGCGCUCUUCAACAAUUCAACUCUUUAAAGUUCAGGAUUUUACUCUGGGCAGUAUUUUUUUUUUUCUUUUCACCUAUUCUCCAUUGAUGAAGAAUGUUUCGAUACAGCAAUAUACUCUGCACAACGAGGAUUUAAGUGUUUCCAAACAAUUUGGAUAUUUAUUUAUAAUUCAUUAUUGACAUAUGGAUUUCUUGAGGGUUCUAUUUCUGUCUUUUUUAUGGCAGAUAUUUUACAAUUAAAAAAAAUCUUUUCACUAACUCUUAUAGAGCUUACUUCACUGGUAAUGAUAAUGUCUUUUUUUUUACUUAAACGAACGUAUGAAA
Long non-coding RNA from Cotesia glomerata, 395 nucleotides. RefSeq lists it as uncharacterized. The record is from RefSeq and is a predicted model, not a curated record. NCBI's taxonomy places the organism in Eukaryota, Metazoa, Arthropoda, Insecta, Hymenoptera, Braconidae. The transcript is spliced from 3 exons.